GGCAAUCGAUGAUAUUCAUUUUAAGUAGUGCGGAUGUGAAAAGAGAAGAACCCAACCCAACACACCUCAGGUAAUGGUCCAUGCAACUCCAAGGCUGUGACAUGCGAAAGGCCGUCCAGAAUACCAUGAUUCUCUACUUUGUGUUGAAUGCUAUUGAGGACACGAGAUAUGAGACUUACUAAAGCUGUAACUAGACAAU
Molecule: long non-coding RNA, 199 nt
Filed under: Hordeum vulgare
Lineage: Eukaryota; Viridiplantae; Streptophyta; Magnoliopsida; Poales; Poaceae
Description: long non-coding RNA (HVUL_LNC008392)
Source: RNAcentral